GCACCGGAAAAAGACGGUGCCGGGUUUGGCGACCUGUUAUUGUGCGGCGGACAACCGCCAUCAGUGCGGUUUUUUA
Molecule: small RNA, 76 nt
Filed under: Oxalobacter paraformigenes
Lineage: Bacteria; Pseudomonadati; Pseudomonadota; Betaproteobacteria; Burkholderiales; Oxalobacteraceae
Description: Oxalobacter formigenes HOxBLS isrK Hfq binding RNA
Rfam family: isrK Hfq binding RNA
Source: Rfam by way of RNAcentral